This 460-nucleotide ribosomal RNA is filed under the name uncultured bacterium. RNAcentral describes it as "partial 16S ribosomal RNA". It matches the Rfam family "Bacterial small subunit ribosomal RNA", at positions 338 to 795 of the family's 1533-position model. The record is from RNAcentral.
CCUACGGGAGGCAGCAGUGAGGAAUAUUGGUCAAUGGACGAGAGUCUGAACCAGCCAAGUAGCGUGAAGGAUGACUGCCCUAUGGGUUGUAAACCUCUUUUAUAAAGGAACAAAACGAGGCACGUGUGCCUUUUUGCAUGUACUUUAUGAAUAAGGAUCGGCUAACUCCGUGCCAGCAGCCGCGGUAAUACGGAGGAUCCGAGCGUUAUCCGGAUUUAUUGGGUUUAAAGGGAGCGUAGAUGGGUUGUUAAGUCAGUUGUGAAAGUUUGCGGCUCAACCGUAAAAGUGCAAUUGAUACUGGCAGUCUUGAGUACGGUUGAGGUAAGCGGAAUGCGUGGUGUAGCGGUGAAAUGCAUAGAUAUCGCGAAGAACCCCGAUUGCGAAGGCAGCUUACUAAACUGUGACUGACAUUGAUGCUCGAAAGUGUGGGUAUCGAACAGGAUUAGAUACCCGAGUAGUC